Molecule: long non-coding RNA, 579 nt
Filed under: Salvator merianae (Argentine black and white tegu)
Lineage: Eukaryota; Metazoa; Chordata; Lepidosauria; Squamata; Teiidae
Description: lncRNA (ENSSMRG00000008866.1)
Source: RNAcentral
UUUAGAACUGUACUUCACACCUUCAAGGUGUGGGGAUGUUUUUUUUUUGCUUGAAGACUCUUGGAGAUUACUAGACCCAGACUGCAGCUACACUAAAUGGCAAGGAGACUUUCCCCAGCCUGGAAGAAGACGCCGCCGUCCAUCAAGGCGUCAUCCUCAAGACUACAGAGACUGUGGAAGAAUCCCCUUCUGCUCAUCUUCUUCACUGGAGACUCCAGCAUCCUCAUGGCUAUCGCUCAGGAGUCCAAAUCCAGCCAAGGAGGAAAAGCAUCUCCAGAGCUCCCUGCGUGUGUUCCAGCCCUAACCCUACCCUGGCAUCACUGGACGUGGACACAGAAGUACAUGCAGAAAUAUAUACUUGCAAAGAAAGGAGUAAAUAAGAGGAAGAAACUUCUUCUGGAUGCCACACACUCCUGAAUGCCUGCUGAGGACUUUUCUUUUUAUGCAUGCUUAUGUUUUGUAGUUGGCUUGACUUGUUUGCCUUGUCAUAUCUGUUCUUCAGUGUUACUUGUAAUAAUUGCUUUGUUUUUCAAAGUUACUUGUAAUAAAUGCUUUGUUUUUCAGUGUUACUUGUAAUAA